Molecule: ribosomal RNA, 459 nt
Filed under: Mammaliicoccus lentus
Lineage: Bacteria; Bacillati; Bacillota; Bacilli; Caryophanales; Staphylococcaceae
Description: bacterial SSU rRNA
Rfam family: Bacterial small subunit ribosomal RNA
Source: RNAcentral
AAGCGAACAGAUGAGAAGCUUGCUUCUCUGAUGUUAGCGGCGGACGGGUGAGUAACACGUGGGUAACCUACCUAUAAGACUGGGAUAACUCCGGGAAACCGGGGCUAAUACCGGAUAAUAUAUUGAACCGCAUGGUUCAAUGUUGAAAGACGGUUUCGGCUGUCACUUAUAGAUGGACCCGCGCCGUAUUAGCUAGUUGGUAAGGUAACGGCUUACCAAGGCAACGAUACGUAGCCGACCUGAGAGGGUGAUCGGCCACACUGGAACUGAGACACGGUCCAGACUCCUACGGGAGGCAGCAGUAGGGAAUCUUCCGCAAUGGGCGAAAGCCUGACGGAGCAACGCCGCGUGAGUGAUGAAGGUCUUAGGAUCGUAAAACUCUGUUGUUAGGGAAGAACAAAUUUGUUAGUAACUGAACAAGUCUUGACGGUACCUAACCAGAAAGCCACGUCUAAUUAU